ACCCGGGUCCUCCGUAAGAACAGUCAGUGCUUUUAAAUGCUAAGCCACCAAGUGCCCUUAAUUGGCCAAGCCAUCUCUCCAGCCCUAGUUUGAUUUAUUUCAUGCACAUUUUUACAAUGAAUACACUUAUUUAAUUUUUUGAGACAGAGUCUUUCUACAUGGCUCUGGCUGUCCUGGAACUCACUAUGUAGACCAGGCUGGCCUCCAACUCAUGGCAAUUCUCUUGCUUCCUGAGUGCUGGGAUUAAAGACAUGCACCACCACACCAGGCUGGCAUGCACAUUCUUUAACUAAUAUUAAGUAUGAUUUUUUUCAUAAGUGUAAGCUAGAACAUCUGAUUUUUUUUUCAAGAUGAACAGCAAAUUAGCAAGUUAUGUUAAGGCUUUUUCCCACAGACCCUAGCCUUUUCCUAUCUGAAAUAGAAUGGCAAAUAAUUCGUAAUGAGUAUGACUACCAGGUGCUUUUCUUAACACACUAACAUGUAUUGUUAACUCAUUAGUCCUCUUAACAAACCCAGCAUAAAUGCAAUGCCACUUCAUCUUAAAGAAAUGGUUUUUCUUUCUUGAGGUAGAGAUGCACCAUAUAAUCCAGGGUAGCCUCAAACUCACUUGUAGCCCAGGCUGUCCUUGAUCUUACCCUGCCUGUUGCCUCAGCCUACUGAGUCCUGAGAUGACAAGUGUGAGCCACCACACCACAUGUUUCCAGACUCUGGUCUGCUUCCCCAGUCCAUAAAGCAGAAAAGUUCCUCCACCAGAUUCUGCCUUACAGUCCUUCACCUGCCUCGUUCCUCUCUGAGCGCCACACUCCUGUGUUCAGAUGCUGACUCAGCGGCUCUGCUUGAGUUGUUCCUUGUCUUCUCGGUGGCAAAGUUGCCAAAAUAACUCUCCUGUUUGUCCACACAGACCUGCCCAGGUGCCCAGCAUCUGCCCUUUGGAUCCUGAGCCCCAACUCCUGAUUCCUUUUUCCACCACUCGCCUCUGCUCUGUCCUCAGGUCAACAGCUCCCUCCAUGACUUUGCACUACCAGGCCCAGCAUUUUCUGAGAGGAUUAUCUCGCAUAUUGUGAGUCCAGGAACAGAUAAAAUCCAAAAAUCAAAAUAUGUCUUCUCCAGAAAUGUCCUUGGUUCUCUGGCCAAAAAUGCCAGAAGGGAGCUCUAGUUUUUUGUCUUGUUUUGUUUUUGAGACAGGGUUUCUCUGUGUAGCCCCGAUGUCCUGGAACUCGCUUUGUAGACCAGCAGCUCGCAACCACCUGUGCCUCCAGGUCCAGGGGAUCCAGUGGUCUUUUCUGGACUCGUUGGGCACCAGGCAUGCAUGUAGUGCAUUGACAAACACGUAGGCAAAACAUCCCUACACAUAAAAAAUAAAUCUUUAAGAUAAAAUAAGGUGGAGAAAUGACUCUAAAGCCUAAGAUGAGCUGCGUUUUCUUACUGUGGCAUAUAAAACAAAACACAGUACAAUAAAAUAAUCUGCUUAAAAGUAGUGCACAUUUCCAAAGCCUGUAUUGGAGGGAAGACCGACCCCAGGCUGAGCGGCCAGCAGGGAAGCAAACCUUUCUGCAUUUCUUCGCUCGCUUGCAGUUCCUAACAGUCACCAGCAGAGGGAAAAGUAGUUUUGUUUCGAGUGGAUCCCGGCGCGGCACAAAUUCUCUCACUAAAGAGAAGCAACCGCGAGCUCCAGGGAGACCCCGGUCUGUGGGCGGUUAAGCUGGUCUGGAGGAGUCACUUGGACAGCACAGGCUCUGCCAGGCCGUUGCCCAGACUCUCGGCAGCUCCCCUCAAACGAGAGUCGAGGGAUAACUUGGUCGGGACUCCCUGCUGACCACCCAGCCUCGGACUCCUUCGCUGUCGCUGCGCAAAGCAUUCUCUCGAACCCGCGUACCCGGGAGGCGAGUCCGAGUGCAAUCCUGGGGAACCCAGCCCGGGUCCUAGUGCAAUUCUGGGGAACCGAGCCCAGGUCCUAGUGCAGUCCUGGGAGCCCGAAUUCCGGGCCGAGUGCGAACCAGGUAAGCAUCCUCUAGGGUCCGAGCGCGCCCCCGGCGAGCUCGCGCCAGCUUCACCGCGCAUUCCUGGAGCCGAGUCCACCCGCUUCAAGUCGAGACCAGGGCCAGGCGGAGGACUCAGGCGGUCCGAGUGCUGAAGGAUCUGGGCUGCAGCCCUGGGCACAGACCGCGGAGAGGACCAAGGAGCUGCGGUGUAAACGGUAAAAACAGUCACGCUAGUAAACGGGUCAAUGAGGGGCUGGAGAACCGCUGUUAAUUAGAACGGGCGUGAAGAACUCCGUCGAGGACCUCGGCUGGACUGUGAUGAGCAGUGCAGAGCCUGUGUCGGUGAGCUACCGAAAGGGAGACACGGACCUGCUCCGGGGACGUUUCCAGACACAGUGGAUGAGAGCAGAAACUGACAGAUUGCACACGGGAAGAGAACGUGCGGCGGGGUGGGAGGUUAGACCAGGGAACAGGCGGAGAGCAGCCGGCUAGACCCGCGGUUCCGCCAGCGCGGCCCGGGAGAGCGGGAGUCGUCGGCGCAGAUCCCGAGUCCACCGUUGCCACCGACGUUGUCAGCCGGUCAUCCCGGCCUGGGUAGCAGAAGCCCGGCGCGUCGGCAACAGGUUUGCUCCGAGCGGGACCGCGAGGGAAGACGUCAAGCUCUACGGGAUUUGGAGGCCGGCUGCCAGGAAAACGUAUGACACUUAAGUUCUGCACUGAAGCACAGUGUCUAAUCUGCCACCAAAGUCCCCUGCCUUCUGCUGGAACCAAUGGACAUGCCUGCUCUGCUGAAGCCGGAAGCCAGCUUCCUCAUUGGGUACAUAGCAAAUGGGACUCCCCAAGCAGAAGCCAGCAGCUCACCUACAGGAGGAGCCAUGUGGGGCAGGCUGCCAGGGCUCCCAGGACUCCAUGCGGGUCCUCAGGCUACAACCCAGGACCCGGGCGCUGCUCUGACCCCUCGUGUCUUGUGUUGCAGCCGGAGGGACGCAGGUCUGCAGCAGAGCCUGCCCGGUGGCCCCUGAGGGACUUGGCAUGGGGAACAGAGGCAGGCACUUUGGGAAAGCUAGGGCAGAAGGGCAGUGGGUUGUACCAGAGGUCUUGAACACAAGGUUCCUUCAUCCAUUCAGCCGGACAUAUAGAACCUGGGGCCUGCAGGAAGGUGAGGCUGGCUGUGUGUGCUGAACACAGCCAGGAUGCAGCACAACACAAAAGCAUGAACUUGGAACACAAUGGGAUUUUUUUUUUUUUUUGGUAACUCUUCUGUAGUUUUUGACCUGGAAUGUUGUAGAUGGCAAUGGAACAUUAAUGUUGCAAUUUCAAAGGAUUGAACAUGCUUGAUAGUAAGAGGAGGCCAGGGCAGUCCUGAGGACACAGGGUCCAGUAAAUGACCCUUAGCUUCUUACUGGAGUCCCAUGGGUCACUUGUCUACAAUUCUCCAUCCCAAGGCAUUGUCCUUAACUUAUAACCAGAUCCUUUCCAGUAUCUCAGACUGUCUUCUGUGACUCUCCAUGACUGCCCUGCAUCCUGGGCAGAAAGCAUCCAAAUGCCUGCAUUUUUAAUAAACCUUGCACCAUCUACAGGGCAUUCUUUUUUUUUUUUUUUAUAAGAAAUGGAUUGGUUUUAGAAAAUAAUCAGCUCAAUAUUUUUUUUCCUUCUCUUGAGUGGUGUGAAGGGAAACUGAGUAACAAGAGAGGCUGUAUUUUAAUCUGAAUAAUGGGAAAGCCAGGAAUUUGAAAGGAUUGAGUCUGGAACUGCUUUGCCUCAGAACAGGUGACCAUCAGGUUAAGCAGCCAUGCUGCAUUGCAUCCAUAAACCUAGACACUAUGUUUGUGGUGUCCUGCUUAGUAAAGACUAAAAAGAAACUCAAAACAGAUCAGGAAAAGUGUGGCUGACACCAGUUAGACAAUCCGGAGGAAGGAAGCCAACAGAUACUUGUGUAAAUCGAUGUGCAGGUAAGGCAUUCUGUAAGACGUUCCAUGACCAUGUUGGGGGACAUUCUCAGGAAAAUGAGAUACAUACAGUGGAGUAAUCAGAUAAAUAAACGUAUUAGGGACAAUAUAAGUAAUGUUGCUACCUAAACGAGAAGUCUUUUAACCUUUUUAAAAUUAGAUUUAUUCAUUUUGUCUUUUCCCUGAAUGUAGUGUGUAUCACAUGCAUGCUUGAUGUCUGUGGAGGUCAGAAGAGGGCAUUGGGCACCCUGAACUGGAGUUUUGGAUGGUUGUGAACCACCACCUGGGUACUGAGAAUUGAACCCAGGUCCUCUCCAAAAGCAGCAAAUGUGCUUAAUGGCUGAGUCACCUCUCCAGUCCUGAAAACUCUUAUAAGAUGGAAAGAGAUUGUUCUGUAACUGGGAGAGGGCAAAUGCUAGGGUAAAUGGUAGUGUUGAAGGAGAAUCAGAAGGAUUAUGAUUCCAUUCUAAACCAUCAGAUUAUGGUUUCAGUAUAGAUGCACACACACGGGGUGUGUGUGUGUAUACACAAUUAUUCCUUAACUCUUGUUCACAGAGCACACCUCACACCCAGAUCUUUGUUUGCAAAGAUGUUAUGUGAACAGUGUCCAGAGCUCCUUUAAGAAGUGGCUGAUGUUGGGUCUGGGACAAGACAUGCAAAAUAAGCCUGGAUCAUCUGGUACCAUAAAGGAAGGAAUGUCUGAAGGGACUGGCAAGAUGGCUCACUCGGCAAUGUGCAAGCCUGACGGGAGAGAACUGACUCCACAGUUUCCCUCUGACUUCCAUGUGUGCAUCUGACUCCAACACCACACACAUAUUAUACACCCUAAUAAUAAUUUUUUUUUAAAAAAUGAUAAGACUCAUCAAAAGGAUACAGAAGCCACCUAAAGAAGCUUCCAUGACCAUACUUGGGGCUAUUUGAUCACCACAAUACACAUGUAUGUUUUGGGGUUUUAUGGUGGGACAGUCCAGGGUCUCACUAUGUAUGUAGAUCAGGCUGGCCUCAAAAUCAUAGAGAUUAUCUCUGACUCUGGAGUGCUAGGAUAAAAGGCAUGUGCCACCAUAUCCAGCAUAGCAAAAUACAUGUUGAUAAUUAGUAAGAAACCAUGAGCCCAUGCUGACAAAAAAAAAAAAAAGUUAGUUCAUGAGCCAAGUGCUCAAUGAGGAGCAGGUUUACACCAUUCACAGACCCACAAGGAUAACAUUGCUACAGAGGAGAGGAACCUGGAAGGCCUGCCCUCCAUCAAAUACAUCAUCCACAAAGAACAGACUGUGUCACAAUCUCUAUGAGAACCAUGGACUCACGAUCCUGCCAAAGUCGAAUGACCUGCAUCUAAUCACAAGGAAACAUCUCUUCUGCUGAAACUGAGAUGCAGUCUAGAAAAUAGCCGACCGAUAAUGUUAAAAAAUUCAAUGUCCUAAAAUUCUAUGAGUUUCUUCAAACAAGUCAAAGCGACUCUGACCAGAGAUACUUCAAGUGACAAGAAGAUGUGUUAUGCUAGACCUCAUUGUGACCAGUCAGGUGGAAAUAGAAUGAUGAGUGGAAAUGAUGGAAACAAAGGGAGCUGUGAACCGACAAGCUGGUGUCAGCACCAGGAGAUGAAUGUACAGUUUACAGGAAGAGCCGCGUUUGAGUCUUGGCUCAUCGGUGAAUAGCUGCUUGCUCUGCCUCCUGGUACUGAGCGUUGUGGACCAACAUCACCUGAGACUGCAACAGACCUUUUCCUUCCACUGAGGUAUGACAUGCACCCCAGCAGAGCAGCUUCCACCUACUGCCCAGUUUGAUGACAGACUUUAGAUGUUAUACAUUUGCACCCCCAUGGCUAAAUUCCCCUCGUUGCCUCAAAAUUUCCCAAGGACAUGGCAUCUAGACUCACUGCCAUUUCAGAUGUCAACAUGGUGACAGCCAUUGUGGUCGUAGGUUGGAGCUAUGGUCCAAAAGUGAUCUGAUCAGCCCAGAAAAACUAGGCUGUUCCUUCUCUAGAUUCUUCCAUGGGACUGGAGUGUCGUUAGCUUCGUUAGCAGCCUCAUCACAUCUUGGUUUAUCUUGGAUUUGCAUUUCUCUAGAAUGAAAACCACCACUAUUUUCUUUAUUUUUAUUUUUUUUUUAAUUCCCAAGACCUCACCAAUAUUUUCAAGUAAACUUUUUUUCAGAGCCAGGCCCUUGGUGUUCACCCUAUAUAUGAAUAUUUGUGUGUGUGCCAUAUUAAUAUCUAUACUUAUUAGUGAUAUAUAUGUUUACACACACAUAUAUAUAUAUUUCUAAACUUGUUUAUAACUACAUUCAUGUGUUAGAUUUCUGAAACUGUGACAAAAAACUCUUAAGAUAAUCAUCAUACAAGGAAGAAAGGUUUCUUUUGGCCCAUGAUUUCAUAGGCUUCAUCCCAUGAUCAUCUGGGCCCAUUGCCUUUGGGCCUGUGGUAUGUAAGGCAGAAUACCAUGGUAGCAGCACAUAGCAGAGAAAGCUAAUCACUUCAUAGUGAAACAGAAUAGAAGGGGUCUGGGGUCCCACAGCCCAGCUAAGGUCACAUAUUCAGUAACCUUUCUUCCAUGAAACCCUGCCUCCUAAGUGUUCUACUACCUCUCAAUGUCAACAUAGGCUGGAGACCAAGCAUUUGAUACAUAGGCUUUUGGGGGCUAUCCAAACUUUAGCAGUUUGAUUAUGUGAAGAGUCUCCCCAAUACUAAGCCUGAUAUUACAUACCUAACAUCUCUUGAUAGGAUGCUAUGAGUGCGCACUGGCUUUUUGCCACACUCAAAAGAGAGCGAGAUUAACUUCAUGCAGAUUUUUACAGCUAACACAUUCAGAUACACUACUUCUACCAGAGUUGGUGAGCAGGGAACUGUAGCGGCCAUUGGGGCACUGUUUCUCUGGGUCCCAGUGACUAUGCCUGUCCAGGGACUGGUUGGCCUAGAUUAUAUCAUCUGUGUUUCCCAGCCCUAAGAUUUUUGCCAAGACUAAACUUCUACUUUCCUUUUCUGGGGCCAUGCUUACUCUUCCGUUCACUCCCAGCACCUCACUUUCAUCCCCGGGACUGUCAACCCCCCUCCUUGAGAUUCCCAUUCUGGACCUGUCAUACCCACUGUCACUCCUACUCAGCAGCAUGUGAUACUCAGACCCUCUGGGUCUUGUCAAUCACUGGUCACACAUGUUAGCCACACUGGCCUGCAGAUCCUUAGUCACUGGAAGAGUCCAGAACACUGCUGUCUCCAAAACCAUUUUAAAGAUGGAUUUCCAAAUGUCACCCACAGUACAAAUAAGAUGAACAGUAGCCGCACAUGACCCUGAAGCAAGUCUUUAACCUCCCUGGCUAUCUGUAGCCAGCAGGGUCAGGCAUAAGGGGACUGUGAUGGUUAGUUUUAAUGUUCAACUUGGCACAAUCUAGUAUCUCCUAGGAAGGGGGUUCCCAAGGAGGGAUCACCUACAUUGGGUUGACCUAUGAAGGAUUUUUCUUAGUUGGGUUAAUUGAGUUGGGAAAACCCACCUUGAAUGUGGACAACACCCAUUAUGGGCUGGGCCCUGAAAACUGUAUGCGUUUUUUUUUUUUUUUUUUUUUUUU
This is a long non-coding RNA of Peromyscus californicus insignis, 7489 nucleotides long. RefSeq lists it as uncharacterized. The transcript is spliced from 5 exons. The record is from RefSeq and is a predicted model, not a curated record. Lineage: Eukaryota; Metazoa; Chordata; Mammalia; Rodentia; Cricetidae.